RNAcentral lists this small RNA (80 nucleotides) under Epilithonimonas xixisoli. Its description in RNAcentral is "Chryseobacterium xixisoli Flavo-1 RNA". Lineage: Bacteria; Pseudomonadati; Bacteroidota; Flavobacteriia; Flavobacteriales; Weeksellaceae. The record is from RNAcentral.
GCCCGACUUGAGUGGAGCUCUUUUUUUGCAUUGGGAAAAGCCUUGGCAAAAAAAAGCGGGAACGGAAGGCGGAAAAGCUG